RNA transcript from Daphnia magna, 1228 nucleotides. RefSeq lists it as uncharacterized. The record is from RefSeq and is a predicted model, not a curated record. NCBI's taxonomy places the organism in Eukaryota, Metazoa, Arthropoda, Branchiopoda, Diplostraca, Daphniidae. The transcript has 3 exons.
AUGUACAAUACGGCGAAGGAACUAUUCGACGAACAAAUCGAAUACCCGACAAGAAGCACCCCGGGGCUGAUAAACGAAAUGCCGGUACAUCCAGCGGCUGGGGUUAUCCACGUUCGAGAACAUACCACCACCAUUCACAAGCUACAACUACCCCCCACCUUGCAGACAAAUGAUCUGCAAGACACUGUGGUUCCCAACUUCAAAGAACAAAGCAAAAGCUAAUCCUGGUGCAGUAGUAGAGAGAUUCAGAACACUACACCAGCAAAUACCAACAACAACGUUGUGCAUAUACACGGACGGGGCAAAAUCGCAAACCUCUAAAACGACCACAUGCGCAAUGUACAUUCCAACGAGAAAUGUCUCCCAAUCGUGGACCAUGGACAGUCAAGCAAGCAUCUACUCAGCGGAGCUGAUAGCCGUACACAAAGCCCUUGACUACACAUACAAACUUGACGAAAACCCACCAGAGGUGAUGGUGUUCUGUGACUCUAGCUCAGUGGUAAAAGCAAUUGGGUCCACCACACCGGGCAUCUAAGGCAACGAAGUGGCGGACAGACUGGCGCAAACCGAGUGCACAAAACCAUCUGGAGCAAAAGCUAACCAUAAGCUCUCCCCAUCUGAAAAAAUCUCAAUAGCAAAGGCAGACUGGAGGAAAGAACACCUCCUCUAUCUCAAGACAUGCCGGAAAGCCUGCAUUCAGACUAUGUCCAGGACAGGGCUGACCAAGUGGUUCCACCACAAGGAGAGAGCCAUAACAGUAUGCCUUCACAGGCUAAGAACAGGGCACAACUACCUGAAUUCUUUCAAUCACAGGGUGGACAAAGACGCUGACCCAAGCUGUCGAGAAGGUUGCGAGGCGAUCGAAAACGUCAAACACAUACUAAUCGACUGCCCGUACACAGAAAACCAUCGCUAAAAAAUCCACCAGCUACUGGCAACCCACAACAUCGACCUCAAUGUCGACUCACUACUCGGCCUCAACAUGGCACUAGAUACAACAGUACAAUGCAAGAUAAGGGACACCCUAGCCAAAUUUCUAAACCAAACAAACCUCGCAGUGAUAGUAUGCAGAUGUAACAACCAGAUGCGUCUGACCAUCAUGAAUUUCCAAUCCCAGUCCCUGACCAGGGAAACAACAAAGGCACAGCAACAGCUCCGGAAACUGCAAACAAAGGAAACGAAGAUAAAAGAAGAAGAAGCCGCCAAUCCCUAUAACAAGGAUACCUAG